UGGGGAAUUGUUCGCAAUGGGCGCAAGCCUGACGACGCAACGCCGCGUGGAGGAUGAAGAUCUUCGGGUCGUAAACUCCUUUCGAUCGAGACGAACGGCCUCCGGGUGAACAAUCCGGGGGAGUGACGGUACCGAGAGAAGAAGCCCCGGCUAACUCCGUGCCAGCAGCCGCGGUAAUACGGGGGGGGCAAGCGUUGUUCGGAAUUACUGGGCGUAAAGGGCUCGUAGGCGGCCAACUAAGUCAGACGUGAAAUCCCUCGGCUUAACCGGGGAACUGCGUCUGAUACUGGAUGGCUUGAGUUUGGGAGAGGGAUGCGGAAUUCCAGGUGUAGCGGUGAAAUGCGUAGAUAUCUGGAGGAACACCGGUGGCGAAGGCGGCAUCCUGGACCAACACUGACGCUGAGGAGCGAAAGCCAGGGGAGCAAACGGGAUUAGAUACCCCGGUAGUCC
This 450-nucleotide ribosomal RNA is filed under the name uncultured bacterium. Its description in RNAcentral is "bacterial SSU rRNA". It matches the Rfam family "Bacterial small subunit ribosomal RNA", at positions 355 to 796 of the family's 1533-position model. The record is from RNAcentral.